GAGCUAUUACAAACGGUGAAUAUUACAAAUUAGGAAAGGAGACGUUUAAACGAUAGAGUUUACGAAGUAUGUUAUAGAACGCGGAAGUUCUCUUCCCAUCUAGUAAAGACACUUGCUUGGAGUUCAUAAUCCAGAAAACAAAUGGGAACAUGUCAGCAGGUACAUCUGACUGCGUUCAAGAUCCCCAGCACGGCCAAGCCCUCCAUCUAAUGAUAAACACUUCAUUGACAGGAAUGAGACAUAGACGCCAUCCUUGAUGAACUUUAUGAAAAGGAAAUCAUCAGACUGGAAAAAUACAAUGCCAUCCAUGCUGAGAAAAUACAGCAAAGGAAGAUGAGAGCGUUAUUUGAUGGCACUGGAGGGAAAGAUGCCUUAUACAAAGUUCUUAUGAAGUUACAGUUCUACUUAGUGAAAGACCUUGGGGCUAAGUCAAACUCUUGUCAGCCUGAAUGUUUUUUUUAAUGGUUUUAUUUACUUUUGUCUCCUGUAAUAUAUGGGAAAUAUUAUGCAAACCAUACCUUCCAAUUAUUGUAACAAAAGCUGUCCAAAAUACACUGCAAUAGCAAAUAAAAAGUGAUGCCCUCUUUUGAAAACUAGGCUUUUUAAACACACACACUGCGAAAUCUAACUUCACUGGACCAAAGUCUCUUCCUCCCUUCUAUGUCAUUUAUGCAUUUGGCAGAUUACAUUUACAUUUAUGCAUUUGGCAGACGCUUUUAUCCAAAGCAACUUACAGUGCACUUUAUUACAGGGACAAUCCCCCCGGAGCAACUUGGAGUUAAGUGCCUUGCUCAAGGGCACAACAGUGGCAUCUUGGUGGUGCUGGGGCUUGAACCCCCGACCUUCUGGUCAGUAACCCUGAGCCUCAACCACUGAGCCACCACUGCCCAAAUGGGGUUUAUGGGGUUUUCCAAGCACAACCCAUUUUAUAGAUUAUCCACAAAAUCAGGUAUAUCAAAAAGCUUGCUUGGCUGACCAACAGGGUUGGGCUAUAACAGAAUAGGCUACAUGUAAUGGCGAUACGUAUUCAAAAUACAAAAAUUAAGUAACUGUAUUCAGCCCCAUUAUGUUUUCAAGCACCUGUAUUCAGAAUACAGUAACAUUACGGUUUAAAUUGUGUUAGAAAACGUUUAGAAUACUUCUCUCAUAAUUACCUCAAAAUAAGGCAAAGGCAAAAUAAGGUGAAAAACUUGAUUGUUUUUCUGAACAGAAAAAAUAUUUUUUAUUACAAUUAUUAACCUAGAUUUAUUGUGUUUUUGCUAUUGUUGGGUUAUUUUGGCAUGUUUGCAUUGUAUCUGAACAUGUGAGCCAAUGUUGCCUCACACAAUGUCUCAGAGAUCAAAAUGUUAGAAUUUUGAUUCACCCCACAUCAAGUGCUGCUUUCACAACUGUCAUGUCUGUAACAAUGGGUUUUCCUCAUUUAUGUGAAAACAACAGUUUAUGAGAAAUAAUUACUGCAUGUUCUUAGGAUUGUCAACCCUUCUGUUUUAUGUGGCUGGUAUUAUUUCUGGAUUGUGCAUUUCAAUUCACAAAGUUUUUACUCAUGUCCACUUUAGUCACGUCUGUAUCCAAGUUCAUCUAAGUAUCUAAAGUGGAAGAAAACUUGUGCUAGUAACUGAACAUUUUCAGAUGUCUGGACUGUAUCUGCGGGUAUCUAUGAUAGUUCAUUGAAAUGGUUCGGUUAUAUACUGGUCAUGGGUACUUCAGUUCAUAUAUGUUCAAUUUUAUGUUUUCACUGCAAAUGCUGGAAUUGCCAUUGUAGCUCUGUGAUUGGCCAAAAUGCUCCAUUAGACUUCUCUGAAACCCUCUACUUUUCUCUGUGGAACCCGGAUGCUUGACGGCUGGCCUACUUUCAGUAAGAUCUGAAUUUCUGCAUUUUGAAUUUUAGAAUAUUGAAUUCUUUAUUGAAUUUUAAAACAUGUAAUUCUUCGUCAGUUGUAAUUUUAUAAUCUGAAUAUUUACAGCUAAUUUCACCUCUAAAAAAAUCAGAACACAUCUGCUGUUUAAAAACACAAAUCUAUAAAAUAUCCCACAAAAAAACUACAAAAUGUUGUUAAAUGCCACAUGCCUAAAAUUCAAAUGUACAAAUUCUAAUUUAAAUAUUUUGUAAUUUAUCUAGAGAUAGUUGCAAAGAGAUUAGAAAUAGAAAAUUGGUUCACAAAUAAAUUGAAUGAGAUCCACAAAUAAAAGGAGUU
Molecule: long non-coding RNA, 2195 nt
Organism: Xyrauchen texanus (razorback sucker)
Lineage: Eukaryota; Metazoa; Chordata; Actinopteri; Cypriniformes; Catostomidae
Exons: 3
Source: RefSeq, a predicted model, not a curated record